RNAcentral lists this ribosomal RNA (305 nucleotides) under uncultured bacterium. RNAcentral's name for it is "bacterial SSU rRNA". It matches the Rfam family "Bacterial small subunit ribosomal RNA", at positions 337 to 657 of the family's 1533-position model. The record is from RNAcentral.
GCCUACGGGACGCAGCAGUGGGGAAUAUUGGGCAAUGGGCGAAAGCCUGACCCAGCAACGCCGCGUGAAGGAAGAAGGCUUUCGGGUUGUAAACUUCUUUUGACAGGGAAGAGCAGAAGACGGUACCUGUCGAAUAAGCCACGGCUAACUACGUGCCAGCAGCCGCGGUAAUACGUAGGUGGCAAGCGUUAUCCGGAUUUACUGGAUGUAAAGGGAGCGCAGGCGGCACGGCAAGCCUGAUGUGAAAGUCCGCGGCCCAACCGCGGGACUGCAUUGGGAACUACCGGGCUGGAGUGCCGGAGAGG